Long non-coding RNA from Actinia tenebrosa (Australian red waratah sea anemone), 375 nucleotides. The record is from RefSeq and is a predicted model, not a curated record. Lineage: Eukaryota; Metazoa; Cnidaria; Anthozoa; Actiniaria; Actiniidae.
CUGAAGAAAGAUUUAUCGUGUUGUCCUCGAUGUUGAGCAAAGAAACGACGAUGGAACAAGAAAGUAAGUCAAGAAAGAAUCUGGCUGGAUUCAACUCAAAGAUGCCCGAUUUUUCAUUCUCGAGGGAUUCGUAGUCAUCCAGCAAGCUUGUUCUAUUCCGCCAUUUUGAAAAACGACAAGAAGAAGCCAUCAAAGUGUUCCAAAAAUGUCGAGAAACCAGCCGUAAUAAAGAUCCUAGAUGUCUAAAACGAAAGAUUACAGAAUCAUGGAAGCCAGCAAAGCAAAGAAUCAAAAAUGGAACAAGGGAGUCGCGAUAUUCAAUCGACGUGCUUCAGGUUAUACAAAAUAUUACGUUAAAAAAAAAUUCCAUUUAUU